Molecule: long non-coding RNA, 2035 nt
Filed under: Musa acuminata (dwarf banana)
Lineage: Eukaryota; Viridiplantae; Streptophyta; Magnoliopsida; Zingiberales; Musaceae
Description: long non-coding RNA (MACU_LNC004390)
Source: RNAcentral
UGGGACAAGGAAAUAGAUCUUGAGUGCUGAUCUGCACCUCUAGUAUCUAUUAUGCCACUUAUGCAGAAACCUCUAGUUGACCACUGCCAGAAGAUCAGGGGAGUACAGAGUCCAAUAUUCUACAGUGUCAUAUGUUAGCAAAGUUCUGCUAGUGAAAUCAGGUAGUGUAAAUACAAACUCACUUUAUCAUUUCAGUUGAUCCUAGUCAUGAAGGUCCAGGAGAAAAAGCACAAGCAUUACUAAAAGGUAUUCCUUGGUAAAUCUAGCAAAUGUUCUCAUGCAAGCACCUUUAUAGUAUUCAAUUUUCUAUGAUGUUUAUUACAACAGGAAGCUAGUAUAGUUAGAGGCUGAGGUCAAUGAUGGUCACAUCUGAAAUCAUUAAACUGCUACUGAUCUAGAGAGGUGUUUAUUUCAUGGUAUGAAACUAGAGUCAAAAUCAUUUCAGGCAACUGAGUCAUAAGGGAAAGAGUGUCAACUGACACUCAUGAAACACCGUGUUAGACUAAAUAUGAUAGUUUCCUUGACACAACUUCAAUAGUGUCCUAAGAGGCAGAAACACCGUGUUAGAAUAUAUCAAUGUGUUUUCAUGUCCAAAACAGAAACUACCUGACAACUAAAAGAUAAAAAAGGGCUGGCCACAUACAUACAAAGUUUCUAAGUGUCCUAAGAGGCAGUCGCAACCAGAACAAGCAGCAUAGUCUUCUGCCAUAUUAUAUUUAUGCUACUCAAAGCCUAGCUACCUUCUCUUUCAGUUUGCAAAUAGUUAUAAUGGUGGUUGGGUAGCAAAUAAUAUUUCACAGCAAAAUGAUCUAUGAGGUCACAUUUUCUAAAUUUAACAAAAGAAUAUCAGAAUUGUUGCCUAAAAAUUAACUUAUGGGACAAGGAAAUAGAUCUUGAGUGCUGAUCUGCACCUCUAGUAUCUAUUAUGCCACUUAUGCAGAAACCUCUAGUUGACCACUGCCAGAAGAUCAGGGGAGUACAGAGUCCAAUAUUCUACAGUGUCAUAUGUUAGCAAAGUUCUGCUAGUGAAAUCAGGUAGUGUAAAUACAAACUCACUUUAUCAUUUCGGUUGAUCCUAAUCAUGAAGGUCCAGGAGAAAAAGCACAAGCAUUACUAAAAGGUAUUCCUUGGUAAAUCUAGCAAAUGUUCUCAUGCAGGCACCUUUAUAUUAUUCAAUUUUGUAUGAUGUUUAUUACAAUAGGAAGCUAGUAUAGUUAGAGGCUGAGGUCAAUGAUGGUCACAUCUGAAAUCAUUAAACUGCUACUGAUCUAGAGAGGUGUUUAUUUCAUGGUAUGAAACUAGAGUCAAAAUCAUUUCAGGCAACUGAGUCAUAAGGGAAAGAGUGUCAACUGAUACUCAUGAAACACCGUGUUAGACUAAAUAUGAUAGUUUCUUUGACACAACUUCAAUAGUGUCCUAAGAGGCAGAAACACCAUGUUAGAAUAUAUCAGUGUGUUUUCAUGUCCAAAACAGAAACUACCUGACACCUAAAAGAUAAAAAAGGGCUGGCCACAUACAUACAGCGUUUCUUAGUGUCCUAAGAGGCAGUCGCAACCAGAACAAGCAGCAUAGUCUUCUGCCAUAUUAUAUUUAUGCUACUCAAAGCCUAGCUACCUUCUCUUUCAGUUUGCAAAUAGUUAUAAUGGUGAUUGGGUAGCAAAUAAUAUUUCACAGCAAAAUGAUCUAUGAGGUCACAUUUUCUAAAUUUAACAAAAGAAUAUCAGAAUUGUUGCCGAAAAAUUAACUUAUGGGACAAGGAAAUAGAUCUUGAGUGCUGAUCUGCACCUCUAGUAUCUAUUAUGCCACUUAUGCAGAAACCUCUAGUUGACCACUGCCAGAUGAUCAGGGGAGUACAGAGUCCAAUAUUCUACAGUGUCAUAUGUUAGCAAAGUUCUGCUAGUGAAAUCAGGUAGUGUAAAUACAAACUCACUUUAUCAUUUCGGUUGAUCCUAGUCAUGAAGGUCCAGGAGAAAAAGCACAAGCAUUACUAAAAGGUAUUCCUUGGUAAAUCUAGCAAAUGUUCUCAUGCAGGCAC